RNAcentral lists this ribosomal RNA (406 nucleotides) under uncultured bacterium. RNAcentral describes it as "partial 16S ribosomal RNA". It matches the Rfam family "Bacterial small subunit ribosomal RNA", at positions 30 to 526 of the family's 1533-position model. The record is from RNAcentral.
AUUGAACGCUGGCGGCAGGCCUAACACAUGCAAGUCGAACGAGUGGCGGACGGGUGAGUAAUGCUGGGGAAUCUAGCUUAUGGAGGGGGAUAACUAGGGGAAACUGUAGAUAAUACCGCGUACCAUAGGAUGAGCCCAAGGGGGAUUAGGUAGUUGGUGAGGUAAAGGCUCAUCAAGCCGACGAUCCAUAGCUGGUCUGAGAGGAUGACCAGCCACACUGUGACGUAGACACGGCCCAGACUCCUACGGGAGGCAGCAGUGGGGAAUCUUGCGCAAUGGGCGCAAGCCUGAUACAGCCAUGCCGCGUGUAUGAAGAAGGCCUUAGGGUUGUAAAGUACUUUCAGCGGGGAUGCGUUACCCGCAGAGAAAGCACCGGCUAACUCCGUGCCAGCAGCCGCGGUAAUAC